AUUGAACGCUGGCGGAAUGCUUUACACAUGCAAGUCGAACGGUAGAGGGGGCAACCCCUCGAGAGUGGCGAACGGGUGAGUAAUAUAUCGGAACGUGCCCAGUCGUGGGGGAUAACGUAGCGAAAGUUACGCUAAUACCGCAUACGAUCUAAGGAUGAAAGCGGGGGAUCGCAAGACCUCGCGCGAUUGGAGCGGCCGAUAUCAGAUUAGGUAGUUGGUGGGGUAAAGGCUCACCAAGCCAACGAUCUGUAGCUGGUCUGAGAGGACGACCAGCCACACUGGAACUGAGACACGGUCCAGACUCCUACGGGAGGCAGCAGUGGGGAAUUUUGGACAAUGGACGAAAGUCUGAUCCAGCCAUUCCGCGUGCAGGAUGAAGGCCCUCGGGUUGUAAACUGCUUUUGUACGGAACGAAAAGGUCUCUAUUAAUACUAGGGGCUCAUGACGGUACCGUAAGAAUAAGCACCGGCUAACUACGUG
RNAcentral lists this ribosomal RNA (480 nucleotides) under uncultured bacterium. Its description in RNAcentral is "bacterial SSU rRNA". It matches the Rfam family "Bacterial small subunit ribosomal RNA", at positions 30 to 507 of the family's 1533-position model. The record is from RNAcentral.